CUACGGGAGGCACCAGUGGGGAAUAUUGCACAAUGGGCGCAAGCCUGAUGCAGCCAUGCCGCGUGUAUGAAGAAGGCCUUCGGGUUGUAAAGUACUUUCAGCGGGGAGGAAGGGAGUAAAGUUAAUACCUUUGCUCAUUGACGUUACCCGCAGAAGAAGCACCGGCUAACUCCGUGCCAGCAGCCGCGGUAAUACGGAGGGUGCAAGCGUUAAUCGGAAUUACUGGGCGUAAAGCGCACGCAGGUGGUUUGUUAAGUCAGAUGUGAAAUCCCCGGGCUCAACCUGGGAACUGCAUCUGAUACUGGCAAGCUUGAGUCUCGUAGAGGGGGGUAGAAUUCCAGGUGUAGCGGUGAUAUGCGUAGAGAUCUGGAGGAAUACCGGUGGCGAAGGCGGCCCCCUGGACGAAGACUGACGCUCAGGUGCGAAAGCGUGGGGAGCAAACAGGAUUAGAUACCCCCGUAGUC
This 464-nucleotide ribosomal RNA is filed under the name uncultured bacterium. Its description in RNAcentral is "partial 16S ribosomal RNA". It matches the Rfam family "Bacterial small subunit ribosomal RNA", at positions 339 to 795 of the family's 1533-position model. The record is from RNAcentral.